AAUCCUGGCUCAGGAUGAACGCUGGCGGCGUGCUUAACACAUGCAAGUCGAACGGAGGACCCUUGACGGAGUUUUCGGACAACUGAUAGGAAUCCUUAGUGGCGGACGGGUGAGUAACGCGUGAGGAACCUGCCUUGGAGUGGGGAAUAACAGUUGGAAACAACUGCUAAUACCGCAUGAUGCAUUUGGGCUGCAUGGUCUAAAUGCCAAAGAUUUAUCGCUCUGAGAUGGCCUCGCGU
RNAcentral lists this ribosomal RNA (239 nucleotides) under uncultured bacterium. RNAcentral's name for it is "partial 16S ribosomal RNA". It matches the Rfam family "Bacterial small subunit ribosomal RNA", at positions 15 to 236 of the family's 1533-position model. The record is from RNAcentral.